This 496-nucleotide ribosomal RNA is filed under the name uncultured bacterium. RNAcentral describes it as "partial 16S ribosomal RNA". It matches the Rfam family "Bacterial small subunit ribosomal RNA", at positions 28 to 507 of the family's 1533-position model. The record is from RNAcentral.
GACGAACGCUGGCGGCGUGCCUAAUACAUGCAAGUAGAACGCUGAAGAGAGGAGCUUGCUCUUCUUGGAUGAGUUGCGAACGGGUGAGUAACGCGUAGGUAACCUGCCUUGUAGCGGGGGAUAACUAUUGGAAACGAUAGCUAAUACCGCAUAACAAUGGAUGACACAUGUCAUUUAUUUGAAAGGGGCAAUUGCUCCACUACAAGAUGGACCUGCGUUGUAUUAGCUAGUAGGUGAGGUAUGGCUCACCUAGGCGACGAUACAUAGCCGACCUGAGAGGGUGAUCGGCCACACUGGGACUGAGACACGGCCCAGACUCCUACGGGAGGCAGCAGUAGGGAAUCUUCGGCAAUGGGGGCAACCCUGACCGAGCAACGCCGCGUGAGUGAAGAAGGUUUUCGGAUCGUAAAGCUCUGUUGUAAGUCAAGAACGGGUGUGAGAGUGGAAAGUUCACACUGUGACGGUAGCUUACCAGAAAGGGACGGCUAACUACGUG